Long non-coding RNA from Xiphophorus hellerii (green swordtail), 536 nucleotides. RefSeq lists it as uncharacterized. The record is from RefSeq and is a predicted model, not a curated record. NCBI's taxonomy places the organism in Eukaryota, Metazoa, Chordata, Actinopteri, Cyprinodontiformes, Poeciliidae. The transcript is spliced from 2 exons.
GGUUCCUUUGGACUGCACCGGCUAAAAGAGGGUGUUACUUUCCGAGAGGCAAGCCGCAUAUGACGGUUGACAUUCUGCUAGGGGUCGGUGCACGGAUCGUAUAGCAGCCUGGUGGUGCAGCAGAGGCACAUCUAAAAGUUGCAGGACCCUGGAGGACUGGAGUUUGACACCCCUGCCCCAGUGCAUCGGUAAAAACAACUCAUAUAAUCAUGUUAAGGUUGUAACUUUCAGUUUAAUCGGCAGCUAACAAAAUUGUAAAAUAAAUAAAUUUGUAAACAAUUGCUCUAUAUUUCGCAAAGUUGUAGAUAUUUCGGCUGUCUGAAAUAAUUUGUUCCCCCUCCAUAAAGUGGGAACAAAUUAAUUUACCAGCAAGUCUUUAAAUGUGUUUAUUCCUCUCAUCAUCAGCAACAAAUCCUGUGGAUUUGGUGACAUUUGAUCAUUAUUUGCCAAAGUUAAAGGAGGGUGAAUCAUAUAUUUUAGCCACCUGAAAAAACCUGUUCCCCCUCCAUAACAUGUACAUGUAUAGAUUAUAUUAA